Molecule: ribosomal RNA, 120 nt
Organism: Pteropus vampyrus (large flying fox)
Lineage: Eukaryota; Metazoa; Chordata; Mammalia; Chiroptera; Pteropodidae
Source: Ensembl
GUCUAUGGCCAAUGCCACCCUGAAUGUGCCCAAUCUCAUCUGAUCUUUGAAGCUAAGCAAGGUCGAGCCUGAUUAGUACUUAGAUGGGAAACCACCUAGGAAUAUUAGGUGCUAUAGGCA